Molecule: long non-coding RNA, 260 nt
Filed under: Daucus carota (carrot)
Lineage: Eukaryota; Viridiplantae; Streptophyta; Magnoliopsida; Apiales; Apiaceae
Description: long non-coding RNA (DCAR_LNC006722)
Source: RNAcentral
CACUAUCUUGUCUGUUGAGCUUGGAUUGGAGAGUCUUCAGAGUAUUCAAGCUAGCAACCUUGAGUUGAUCUUUAGGUCUGAAAAAUCUCCUAACACCUUGAUUGUCCCUAAAUUCCAUGACUGGAGUAGGUUCAUGAUGAAUUUUCUUUCCAGUGUAGGGAAUUUUCAGCCUUCUUUGCAGACUAGCAUCUGAGUUCCAUUCCUUCCUGAUCUCAAGGAUUCUCUUUAGUACCAUUUGCUUUGCAGGUGGUGUAAAUCCU